Magnolia sinica is the source of this 2259-nucleotide long non-coding RNA. RefSeq lists it as uncharacterized. The transcript has 2 exons. The record is from RefSeq and is a predicted model, not a curated record. NCBI's taxonomy places the organism in Eukaryota, Viridiplantae, Streptophyta, Magnoliopsida, Magnoliales, Magnoliaceae.
CCUUUUCUUUCUACAUUGAUUUUGUAGAUGUGUUUGCCUGAAAAUUUGGUGGUCAUGUUCCUGCACUUAUGCUUUCAAUAUGAAUGUACACGUAAUAAAUUUUGUUAAAGCAUACCCCCACUUACCAUGUAGUGAAGAGAAUCUUACGUGUCUGGGGCCCAUACAUUAGCCACCCCUCCCAUCCGAAAAGCAGAGGGCGAAACUUAUAAUCUUUGAUGAACAUGUGAACAUCGAAAAUUGUCCUAGAUCCAAAAUUGUACUCCUAGAGUAUAAGCUGUUGUCAGGUCAGCUGUUGGUGUUUAGGUUCCAAUGGCUUAAAAAUCACAAACCAUUAGAUGUUCCUGGUCCUCCAAGUAAAAAGGACAUUUUCCCUUUUGAAUGUGAUUUAUUUUUCCUUAUUCCUUUCAUAGUGUCACUUGGUAGGUAUCCAAAUCAAGUAAUUAGGAUCACCCAAUCAGUGUGGCUUUUGUGCUAUGCAGGCUCCAUAGCACAGACCACCUAAUGGAUGGUUCAAAUCAAUUCCAUGUGUGACAUAUGUACUAUUUGGAUCAAUGAUACUCGAACAAAAGUAUAUGACGUUGACCAUUUUGCUGUAUUGACCUUCUCUUCUAAAAACACACUUGCGGCCUACUCCAUAUUGCCAAUAAUCUAUUCCUUUCUCAGCUGACCAUUCCUCUCUGUAAUUAGGAAAAAAUUGGGAUUAGGGCUUCCUCUCCCCUCUUUAUUUAUAUUAAUAACAUAUUUUGGAAAAGCUAUGGUAGUCUGCAAGACCACCCAAUACAGUAUACCCUCACUGUAACACUCUCCUUCCCUUAACUGGUCCAUGUAAUUGCUUCAUGCACCUUGAGGAUAAGGGUUGAUGGAGUUGGUGCCAACAUUAUAAAAAAUUAUGUUAAGCCCAGUCAAAAUUUAUGGGACUAGUCCGAGUCACAGGUUCAACUUGUGCGAGACUUGCCUCAUUAGUCAACUGAGUUGAGUCUCUUGGUUAUUGAUCAAUGCUAAGUCCCUUCAUAUACAAACUAAGCCCUCUAUGUCUACUUAAAAACAAUCUUUCUAUUUUCUUGACUGAGAUUAAUCAAAGGGAGACUUAUGUUUCAUUAAUCAGAGGAAAGAGAGAACUCAAAAUGCUUCUGUUUCAUUCACUGAGAUGACAUAAUACAAACUGUAUAUACAAAAUAUCUGCCUGACAGAAAACUCAAAUGAACUGCACCAAUGACAAUAAUGUCAAGUUUGUGCCUAAAACCUCUUAAGUUCACGUGGUGUGGGCCACCUGAGUUUUGGGUCAGUCUGAUUUUUAUAUAUUUCCUUCAUCCUGGUGAAUCACAACUGAUGAACAUGUUUGAUGAAAGCUACACACCAUGGUGGUCCCACAAACAAACCUAUGGUUCUCAUCCACCCCGUUGUUCCUUGUGGUGUGGCUUACCUGAGCUGAGGAUUUUGCUGAUUUUUGGCUCCAGGGUCUAGCAUUGAGGAUCGAUCACACCUGAUGGACGGAGUGGAUAUCAAACAGACAACAUGGUGGCCCCGCAGAGCUUGGGUGUUUUUCCGCGCUGGUAAAACAGAUGUUUUAGAGGAUUCUGAUCCGGGACCACUGGCCGUCUCCAGCAAAAUGUAAAGGUGUUUUGAUCGGGUCCGAGUGGGCGAAGAUGCUAGGUUUCCAUGCUUGAAGAUAUCCCCGCAUCUUGAUACGCACCUCCAAUGGUCUAAGAAGUCCCGAAGUACCAACUGCAAUGAAUCUGCUCUGAAGUAAAAUCAGGUCCAUAAUUGCUGGUCCAUAUGUCAAGUAGGCCCCAUCAUGAGCCUGUUGUGUCCAAAAAACAGGUUUAUCCAUUCAUCUGGUGGGCUGCGCCUAUGCAGAAAAUGUUUAGCUGGUUUGAAAGAUAUGCAAACAGAGUCCGCAUUCAACCUAUGGAUGACCCAAGCAUCCAAACUUUUGGUUUAGGAAAGGUACAUGACUAGGCCCAACCAAUGGGAUUGAGCUCACGUUGAAAAGGAAAAGGUGAGUUACUGAGUAUACCUGUAGACCACAGACCAGAGAAGAUUAGCAAUACACUCGAGUUUUCUAUUAUACAAAUGGGGCCUAUGUUUCACUGAUCCAAAGAGUUGGUCUAUUGGACCCCACCAUGUAUGAAAUAUGCCCAAAAGCUUCCUCAGUUGGCUGGCCCCAACCUUACAAUGUCCGGUUCAUAUGCAGCUCCUAAGAAAUUGUCUACAUGGUGUAGAUUAAAUCAAAUUAAGCCAUCGAAAUUUUGGGACCCA